RNAcentral lists this ribosomal RNA (601 nucleotides) under uncultured bacterium. RNAcentral describes it as "bacterial SSU rRNA". It matches the Rfam family "Bacterial small subunit ribosomal RNA", at positions 726 to 1329 of the family's 1533-position model. The record is from RNAcentral.
UGACUGUAGCGUUACUGACGCUGAAGCUCGAAGGUGCGGGUAUCGAACAGGAUUAGAUACCCUGGUAGUCCGCACAGUAAACGAUGGAUGCUCGUUGUUCGCCCAUUUGAGGGUGAGUGACUUAGGGAAACCGUUAAGCAUCCCACCUGGGGAGUACGCCGGCAACGGUGAAACUCAAAGGAAUUGACGGGGGCCCGCACAAGCGGAGGAACAUGUGGUUUAAUUCGAUGAUACGCGAGGAACCUUACCCGGGCUUGAACUGUAGGAGAACGAUUCAGAGAUGAUGAGGUCCUUCGGGACUCCUAUGGAGGUGCUGCAUGGUUGUCGUCAGCUCGUGCCGUGAGGUGUCGGCUUAAGUGCCAUAACGAGCGCAACCCUUUUCGUCAGUUGCCAUCAGGUCAUGCUGGGCACUCUGGUGAUACUGCCGCCGCAAGGUGUGAGGAAGGUGGGGAUGACGUCAAAUCAGCACGGCCCUUACGUCCGGGGCUACACACGUGUUACAAUGGGGCAUACAGAAGGCCGGUUCGUGGCAACACGGAUCCAAUCUUUAAAGUGCCUCGUAGUUCGGAUUGGGGUCUGCAACCCGACCCCAUGAAGCUGG